This 353-nucleotide unclassified non-coding RNA is filed under the name soil metagenome. Its description in RNAcentral is "partial contains 5.8S ribosomal RNA, internal transcribed spacer 2, and large subunit ribosomal RNA". The stretch from base 1 to 120 matches the Rfam family "5.8S ribosomal RNA", at positions 35 to 154 of the family's 154-position model. The record is from RNAcentral.
GAUGAAGAACGUAGCGAAAUGCGAUAAGUAAUGUGAAUUGCAGAAUUCAGUGAAUCAUCGAAUCUUUGAACGCACAUUGCGCCCGCCAGUAUUCUGGCGGGCAUGCCUGUUCGAGCGUCAUUUCAACCCUCAGGCCCCCAGUGCCUGGUGUUGGGGAUCGGCCCAGCCUUCCUGUAAGGCCGCCGGCCCCGAAAUCUAGUGGCGGUCUCGCUGUAGUCCUCCUCUGCGUAGUAGCACAACCUCGCAGUUGGAACGCGGCGGUGGCCAUGCCGUUAAACACCCCACUUCUGAAAGUUGACCUCGGAUCAGGUAGGAAUACCCGCUGAACUUAAGCAUAUCAAUAAGCGGAGGAA